RNAcentral lists this ribosomal RNA (503 nucleotides) under uncultured bacterium. RNAcentral describes it as "partial 16S ribosomal RNA". It matches the Rfam family "Bacterial small subunit ribosomal RNA", at positions 30 to 523 of the family's 1533-position model. The record is from RNAcentral.
AUUGAACGCUGGCGGCAGGCUUAACACAUGCAAGUCGAGCGGGGUGAUGGUGCUUGCACUAUCACUUAGCGGCGGACGGGUGUGUAAUGCUUAGGAAUCUGCCUAUUAGUGGGGGACAACAUCUCGAAAGGGAUGCUAAUACCGCAUACGUCCUACGGGAGAAAGCAGGGGAUCACUUGCGACCUGGCGCUAAUAGAUGAGCCUAAGUCGGAUUAGCUAGUUGGUGGGGUAAAGGCCUACCAAGGCGACGAUCGGUAGCGGGUCUGAGAGGAUGAUCCGCCACACUGGGACUGAGACACGGCCCAGACUCCUACGGGAGGCAGCAGUGGGGAAUAUUGGACAAUGGGGGGAACCCUGAUCCAGCCAUGCCGCGUGUGUGAAGAAGGCCUUAUGGUUGUAAAGCACUUUAAGCGAGGAGGAGGCUCUUUUGGUUAAUACCCAAGAUGAGUGGACGUUACUCGCAGAAUAAGCACCGGCUAACUCUGUGCCAGCAGCCGCGGUAA